AACGAACGCUGGCGGCAGGCUUAACACAUGCAAGUUGAACGGGAACAUACGAUAGCUUGCUAUAGUAUGUGAGAGUGGCGCACGGGUGAGUAAUACAUGGGAACAUACCUUGGAGUGGGGAAUAACAACCCGAAAGGGUUGCUAAUACCGCAUAAUGCAGUUGGGUCGCAUGGCUCUGACUGCCAAAGAUUUAUCGCUCUGAGAUGGCCUCGCGUCUGAUUAGCUAGUUGGCGGGGUAACGGCCCACCAAGGCGACGAUCAGUAGCCGGACUGAGAGGUUGACCGGCCACAUUGGGACUGAGACACGGCCCAG
This 313-nucleotide ribosomal RNA is filed under the name uncultured bacterium. RNAcentral's name for it is "bacterial SSU rRNA". It matches the Rfam family "Bacterial small subunit ribosomal RNA", at positions 29 to 334 of the family's 1533-position model. The record is from RNAcentral.